UGGGUUGUGGCUCAGGCGGUAAAGUGCCUGCCUGGCAUGCACAAGGCCCUAGGUUCAAUCCCUAGCACCACAU
RNAcentral lists this transfer RNA (73 nucleotides) under Neotoma lepida (desert woodrat). It matches the Rfam family "tRNA". From Rfam's summary of the family: Transfer RNA (tRNA) molecules are approximately 80 nucleotides in length. Their secondary structure includes four short double-helical elements and three loops (D, anti-codon, and T loops). Further hydrogen bonds mediate the characteristic L-shaped molecular structure. tRNAs have two regions of fundamental functional importance: the anti-codon, which is responsible for specific mRNA codon recognition, and the 3' end, to which the tRNAs corresponding amino acid is attached (by aminoacyl-tRNA synthetases). tRNAs cope with the degeneracy of the genetic code in two manners: having more than one tRNA (with a specific anti-codon) for a particular amino acid; and 'wobble' base-pairing, i.e. permitting non-standard base-pairing at the 3rd anti-codon position. Lineage: Eukaryota; Metazoa; Chordata; Mammalia; Rodentia; Cricetidae. The record is from Rfam by way of RNAcentral.